This 72-nucleotide transfer RNA is filed under the name marine eukaryotic metagenome. It matches the Rfam family "tRNA". From Rfam's summary of the family: Transfer RNA (tRNA) molecules are approximately 80 nucleotides in length. Their secondary structure includes four short double-helical elements and three loops (D, anti-codon, and T loops). The record is from RNAcentral.
GGGCUGUAGCUCAGUUGGCUAGAGCACCUGCUUUGCAAGCAGGGGGUCGUCGGUUCGAAUCCGAUCAGCUCC